Small nuclear RNA from Cavia porcellus (domestic guinea pig), 104 nucleotides. Lineage: Eukaryota; Metazoa; Chordata; Mammalia; Rodentia; Caviidae. The record is from Ensembl.
GUGCUCACUUUGGCAGCGUAUAUACUAAAAUUGGAAUGAUACAGAGAUUAGCAUGGCCCCUGUGCAAGGAUGAUGUGUAAAUUCAUGAAGCAUUCCAUGCUUUU